Molecule: long non-coding RNA, 545 nt
Organism: Mya arenaria
Lineage: Eukaryota; Metazoa; Mollusca; Bivalvia; Myida; Myidae
Exons: 3
Source: RefSeq, a predicted model, not a curated record
AAGGGAUUAAUAUGCCGAUGUUUGUAAAAGUCAAUUUGGGCCAAUUAGGAUUUAUACUUUAUGACAAUAGCGGUUUAAAUGAUGUGCACUGAUGACAAAUGAACUUAAUUGGGUGUGAUUACUGCGAAGUUAGCGAGAAGGGCAAGUGCGAAUCACAGUUCCAGUUGGUACAAACAAGAUGCAGAUAAAAAAUGGCACUGCGAAGUUUGUAGAUGUGCUAAGUUGGACAACGCCUAAGCCCUUGGACAUGACCAACCAGCAAAAACAACCAAUCAUCAGAGACAUGGCUUGUCAAAUCAGCACAAGGCCGCCUUGGAGAGACAGUUCUGCGUUCCCAGGAACCCAUGAGGAAAAUCGUACUGGCCAAACUGUCCAAGGAUGACAAGCUUGACCCCAAGCUCCUUCAGAAUGCCUACCACCUGGCUAAGCGGGAGCUCCCCAAGGAGGAAUUUCAGUACCACCUCCAGCUUGCCAGGGCCAUAGGUGCUGAUCUUGGCCAUCUCAUGAAUGGGCACUCACCCUCUUACACAUCAAACAAGAGUGUA